This 432-nucleotide ribosomal RNA is filed under the name uncultured bacterium. Its description in RNAcentral is "partial 16S ribosomal RNA". It matches the Rfam family "Bacterial small subunit ribosomal RNA", at positions 28 to 507 of the family's 1533-position model. The record is from RNAcentral.
GAUGAACGCUGGCGGUAUGCUUAACACAUGCAAGUCGAACGGUACCUUCGGGUAUAGUGGCGGACGGGUGAGUAACGCGUGAGAAUCUAUCUUCAGGUCGGGGACAACAGUUAGAAAUGACUGCUAAUACCGGAUGUGCCGCAAGGUAAAAGAUUUAUUGCCUGAAAAAGAGCUCGCGUCAGAUUAGCUAGUAGGUGGUGUAAGAGACUACCUAGGCUUCGAUCUGUAGCUGGUCUGAGAGGACGAUCAGCCACACUGGAACUGAGACACGGUCCAGACUCCUACGGGAGGCAGCAGUGGGGAAUUUUCCGCAAUGGGCGAAAGCCUGACGGAGCAAUACCGCGUGAGGGACGAAGGCUCUUGGGUCGUAAACCUCUUUUCUCAAGGAAGAUUCAGACGGUACUUGAGGAAUAAGCAUCGGCUAACUCUGUG